This 578-nucleotide ribosomal RNA is filed under the name uncultured bacterium. Its description in RNAcentral is "bacterial SSU rRNA". It matches the Rfam family "Bacterial small subunit ribosomal RNA", at positions 338 to 916 of the family's 1533-position model. The record is from RNAcentral.
CCUACGGGAGGCAGCAGUAAGGAAUAUUGGUCAAUGGACGAAAGUCUGAACCAGCCAUGCCGCGUGAAGGAUGAAGGCCCUCUGGGUUGUAAACUUCUUUUAUCUGGGACGAAAAAAGCUCAUUCUUGAGCACUUGACGGUACCAGAGGAAUAAGCACCGGCUAACUCCGUGCCAGCAGCCGCGGUAAUACGGAGGGUGCAAGCGUUAUCCGGAUUCACUGGGUUUAAAGGGUGCGUAGGUGGGUCUGUAAGUCAGUGGUGAAAUCUCCGAGCUUAACUCGGAAACUGCCAUUGAUACUAUAGGUCUUGAAUCAUCUGGAGGUAAGCGGAAUAUGUCAUGUAGCGGUGAAAUGCUUAGAUAUGACAUAGAACACCAAUUGCGAAGGCAGCUUACUACGGGUGCAUUGACACUGAGGCACGAAAGCGUGGGGAUCAAACAGGAUUAGAUACCCUGGUAGUCCACGCCCUAAACGAUGGAUACUCGACAUCAGCGAUACACUGUUGGUGUCUGAGCGAAAGCAUUAAGUAUCCCACCUGGGAAGUACGACCGCAAGGUUGAAACUUAAAGGAAUUGACGG